Oncorhynchus gorbuscha (pink salmon) is the source of this 2684-nucleotide long non-coding RNA. RefSeq lists it as uncharacterized. The transcript has 3 exons. NCBI's taxonomy places the organism in Eukaryota, Metazoa, Chordata, Actinopteri, Salmoniformes, Salmonidae. The record is from RefSeq and is a predicted model, not a curated record.
UGGUCAAAUAUAUUUCCAUCAACUGGUAUUUCUAUCAAUGAAUAGGCUAAAAAGCAUUAUUUUGCUAUGUGAUUUUAUUUAUUCUCCUGGACAAUUGGCCGGUGCCAAUUGAAUUUUUGGGCUUUUCAACAAAAGAAAAUGGCCAAAAGCCGGCUAUUAGCGGCUAAAGGACGACCCUGGUGCCAGCCCUAGUUGGGGGUCCCCGAGCACCGGAGUUGGGAAACACUGCUCUACAGUGCAUGUUUGCAGGAAUAGUUCAGAUUAAUAUCCAUACAUUACAACAUAAUAAGACCACCACCCAAGCCAUCUGUGUAUUGAGCUUGAUGCAUCAGGACAAUAGUUGGGUGUGCAUUGGGUUUGAUGCAUCAUUACAAUAGUUUGAUGUAUUAUGAGGACAGUAGUCAUCAGAUAAAUGAACACAGUCACAAAGUACAACAUAAUCAGGUUAGAAAACAGACCACCACAGUAGGGCUGGGAAUUGCCAGGGACCUCACGAUACAAUAUUAUCACGAUACUUAGGUGCAGAUACAAUAUGUAUUGCAAUUCGAAACUGAUUUUAUUGCUAUUUGAUGUUCAAAACAUAUUGCUCACUAUGUCGUCUGUAGAGAGAUGAGAGAGUGCAAGGGAGCAUGAAUUUAGAUCAGACAUGGAAAUAAAAGUUCUGAAAACACGUUGGCUCACUAAUUAAAAAGAAGACGGGGAACAAGCUAUAGGAUGAAUAAUACAUGAGUUAUUUUUAAAUCUAAAAAUCGAUACUUGGAGUCAAAGUAUCGAUAUGAUAUUGGCCAAAAUAAUAUUGUGAUUAGUAACUAUUGAUUCCCACCCAUCAUUAGUAACCUUUCUGUGCAUUGAGCUUGAUACAUCAGGACAGUAAGCGUCACGACAGUUAGGCCUAACAUGACACAUUCAUCCGGACAAGCUUUAAGGUCUCUGUGUGCUGGAGCUCUGUGUGAAGUGGAUUGUGUGCCGUGCAGCUGAAAAUGAGAGGAGCAUAAAUCCAGGCUUGUCUUCUUUCACCCUCCGAGGAGUAACCGCCCCGCGAUGCAUGCCAUCACAGCAGGUCUCAAACACCGUUUUCUCCUUCCCUGCUCUCAAAGGGCAAGGGAAGGAGGGCAUCUUAAAUGCCAACCUAUUCCCUAUAAUAGUGCACAACUUUUGACCAGGGCCCAUAGAGAAUGGGCUGCCAUUUGGGAUGCAACGGGCCUCUGCUCAGUAGCUCAGUCCUCCUAGUGCAUGUAAAGCACGCCAAAAUAAUAAAAUCAAUGGAUCACAGCUGACUCUUUACGAUGAUCUUGAAGUUUCCUGAGUAAGCAAUCAAUGUUUUCAAUACACAUCAUUGGCGGGGCUGACGCCUUUUGCAAUGAUUUUCUCUUUGUAUAAACUCCCUCCCUGCAACCAUACUAUUUUUGUAUAUUAUUUUUUAUUAUUUUUUAUUCAGUGUUUAUUUGACAGGAGGACCGUUUUUAGUAAAUCCAUGUCAUGUAUCUAAUGAAAUUACAGGCUGACCAAUUCUAGUCUUUUGCCCAAUUAUUGGAAAAAGAUCUGAUCGAACAAAAUAACAUUUAGUGGAAAAAGAUUGGCCUGCCUGUGUAAACGCAGCCUGUCAGGAUAGAGGGUGAACUUUGGCUGCCCGGCUCAGCUGGAGGCAAAACAGCACUUGUCAUCAUGGCUGGAUUAAAUGUGCACUUAGCUGUCCCCUGUCUGAUUACCAGUUACAUAAAACCUCCAGCUAGCACACGGGGGAAAGGAAAACAUGUCAUGCCGCUCCUCUUGCAAAUUACUGCACUCUGGUUCCCACCGAGAGAGUGCAUCGCAUUGCAUGGCAUGCUAUUCGACCGUGGUUACACGCUAUUUCCUACAUAGUGCAUUACUUUUGAUUAGAAUCCUAUAGGCCCUUUUCAAAAGUAGUGCACUAUAUAGGGAAUAUGGUGCCAUUUGGGACACACAGUGACAGUCCUCUGGAUGUGCGACAGACAGACUGUCUGGAGCCUCUCACCUCCAGCCAAAUCUCCAGGCUGAAGCCUGGCCAAAUUAAACAGCCCGGUGACAAUCAUCAUUCCCCAAUCAGUCGCUAAUCAGAAGACACCUGCUCCUUUUCUCUUACCCUAUCACAUUCCCUUUCCCUUGGUUUAAAAACCCAGUCAGUUGUAUUCUCUGGAGAUUGAUCUCUUUGUGUUUUAAUCUCUCUGUGUCUCAAUCUCUUGCAAUAUUGCUCUCACUCGUUGUUUUUUGUUUUUUGUUCCUACAUGUCACAUUUGCCCGGAAUUAUGUGAAUAUGUAUUGUUGUGCUUCAUGGCUAUUUGUUUGUUGGUGGGGAAAGGGGGUAUCAAGACAAGUCGCCCAUGGGCAUACACUACCCGUAGGUAAACUUUGUCUAAAUACCAUAGUUAGAACUGGGUGGACCACCCACUGUAUUUUUGAUUAGUUAGUUCGCUGUAUUGAAGUAAGCUUGUCUAGUUUAUGGGGUGUUUUUGGAUAUUUGUUUAUUUCCUUGGGUCCAGCUCAGCCCCUUUUCCCGCCCCCUUUACCGUGUGUUUAGAAAUAAACCAUGAGUGUUUGACGGUAAUUUAGUUGUCUGUGGUUUUUCGUUCUCACAGUUUUUCGCUAUUAUACUUGGCAUGAGUUAUGUUACGGGUCUCGUUACCAUCCCCCCCUAGAUUGCUGGGCCAAAGGGAUUCGUAACG